UGGCUCAAUGGUAGAGUGCUUGCCUCACAUGCAUGAGGCCCUGGGUUCAAUUCCUCAG
Molecule: non-coding RNA, 58 nt
Organism: Dipodomys ordii (Ord's kangaroo rat)
Lineage: Eukaryota; Metazoa; Chordata; Mammalia; Rodentia; Heteromyidae
Source: Rfam